GGCCUUCAAGCUCAUGGGGAUGAGCGCCCGGCUGAAAACCGGGAGGACGAGGUUCGACUCCUCGGACGGCCGC
RNAcentral lists this transfer RNA (73 nucleotides) under Actinomadura sp. RB99. Its description in RNAcentral is "tRNA-Phe". It matches the Rfam family "tRNA". From Rfam's summary of the family: Transfer RNA (tRNA) molecules are approximately 80 nucleotides in length. Their secondary structure includes four short double-helical elements and three loops (D, anti-codon, and T loops). Lineage: Bacteria; Bacillati; Actinomycetota; Actinomycetes; Streptosporangiales; Thermomonosporaceae. The record is from RNAcentral.